RNAcentral lists this ribosomal RNA (468 nucleotides) under uncultured bacterium. RNAcentral's name for it is "partial 16S ribosomal RNA". It matches the Rfam family "Bacterial small subunit ribosomal RNA", at positions 28 to 507 of the family's 1533-position model. The record is from RNAcentral.
GACGAACGCUGGCGGCGUGCCUAACACAUGCAAGUCGAACGGAAAGGCCCUGCUUUUGUGGGGUGCUGGAGUGGCGAACGGGUGAGUACCACGUGAGUAACAUGCCCCUGCCUUUGGGAUAACUUCAUGACACUGGGGCUCUUACCGGAUAGGAGCUCCUGCUGCUUGGUGGGGGUUGGAAAGUUUCGGCGGUUGGGGAUGGACUCGCGGCUUAUCAGCUUGUUGGUGGGGUAGUGUCUUAGCAAGGCUUUGACGGGUUGCCGGCCUGAGAGGAUGAUCGGCCACGUUGGAUUGGAAAUGAGACCCGGACCACUACGGGAGGGGGCGGUGGAGAAUAGUGCACUAUAGAAGGAGGCCUGAUGCGGCAACGCCACGUGCGGGAUGAAGGCAUGCGGUUUGUAAACCGCUGUCGCCUGUGAAGGAACGUGAGUGACGGUAACGGGUAAAGAAGCACCGGCUAACUACGUG